CUUUGUCCAAAAGUUGGGCAUGUCCCUUCUCCAUCUCCUCCAAAGAUGUCCAAAAGGUGGACAUGAUUAAAAUCAGAUUUGAUCUGAUUUAUUUUUUUUGAUCUAUGAGAUGAAUGGUUCUCCUCUUCCUCUCCUCAAGUCAAGUCCAAGAGUUGGACAAGAUGGAAGAAGAAAAAGAUUAAAUCUCUUGUCUUCUUCAGUAGAUCUUUGAUUUUCUUUUAGAAGA
This 226-nucleotide long non-coding RNA is filed under the name Elaeis guineensis (African oil palm). RNAcentral describes it as "long non-coding RNA (EGUI_LNC046368)". Lineage: Eukaryota; Viridiplantae; Streptophyta; Magnoliopsida; Arecales; Arecaceae. The record is from RNAcentral.